GUCAGAUUUGUGAAGCGCUGAUGAUAUUGUGGAGGUCUGCACAGGUCUUCCUGUUUUCACCAUUGAGCUCUGUAACUCCUUCAGUGUUGUAGUUGGCCUCUUGGACACCCCCCUCAGAUUUCACAGUGCUCAUAGGAAGGUUCAGAACUUUGCUGAUCUUUUUAUAACCUUGUCCAGCUUUUUUUUCCUCCUAACAACUUCAUCUCAGAGCUUCACGGGCAGUUCCUUGGUCUUCAUGACAGCAGGACUGAUCUGAUCUCCCAUUUUAACUUAUGUGGUGUGACCCCCUUGUGCAGGAAUAACUGCAGAUAAACGUUUGGGGUAACUGUUGAUCAGUCCUGCACAUCAGCUUGGAGGAGUUUUAUCCCGUUCUUCAGUACAGAACAGCUUCAACGCUGGGAUGCUCGCUUCAGGUUCUUCCACAACAUUUCUAUUGGAUUAAGGGUCACGGGGAACCUGGAGCCUAUCCCAGGGACACAGUAAUACCACGGUCAGUAAACCAGUUACUAGAAGUUUUGGCACUGUGGGCAGGUGCAGAGUCCUGCUGGAAAAGGAAACCAGCAUCUCCAUAAAGCUCGUCAGCAGAUGGAAGCAUGCAGCGUCUACCAGGAGAUUUUAGAGCACUUCAUCAACUCUCAACUUGAGAAAACACACUGGACCAACACCAGCAGAUGACAUGGCACCUCAAAUGUGGAAACUGUGGAAACUUCACAUUGGACUUCAAGCAACUUGGAUUCUGUUCCUCUCCACUCUUCCUCCAGACUCUGGAACCUUGAUUUCCAAAUGAAAUGCAACACUUACUUUUUUUUUCAUUUUCCCUGUGAUUGUGGUUGUGUACUGAAUUAGACUGAGAUUCAGAAAACCUUUGCAGGUCGACAUUUCUGUAUUAUAAAUUCUUUAUUCUAAU
Ictalurus punctatus (channel catfish) is the source of this 907-nucleotide long non-coding RNA. NCBI's taxonomy places the organism in Eukaryota, Metazoa, Chordata, Actinopteri, Siluriformes, Ictaluridae. The record is from Ensembl.